UACGUAGGGGGCAAGCGUUGUCCGGAAUCAUUGGGCGUAAAGCGCGUGUAGGCGGCCAGAAAAGUCCGCUGUGAAAACUCGAGGCUCAACUUCGAGCUGUCGGUGGAAACUUUCUGGCUAGAGUCCGGAGGAGGAGAAUGGAAUUCCUGGUGUAGCGGUGAAAUGCGCAGAUAUCAGGAAGAACACCCGUGGCGAAGGCGGUUCUCUGGGACGGUACUGACGCUGAGACGCGAAAGCGUGGGGAGCGAACAGG
RNAcentral lists this ribosomal RNA (253 nucleotides) under uncultured bacterium. Its description in RNAcentral is "partial 16S ribosomal RNA". It matches the Rfam family "Bacterial small subunit ribosomal RNA", at positions 524 to 776 of the family's 1533-position model. The record is from RNAcentral.